Molecule: ribosomal RNA, 253 nt
Filed under: uncultured bacterium
Lineage: Bacteria
Description: partial 16S ribosomal RNA
Rfam family: Bacterial small subunit ribosomal RNA
Source: RNAcentral
UACGGGGGGGGCAAGCGUUGUUCGGAAUUACUGGGCGUAAAGGGCUCGUAGGCGGCCAACUAAGUCGGAUGUGAAAUCCCCAGGCUCAACUUGGGAACUGCAUCCGAUACUGGAUGGCUUGAAUUCGGGAGAGGGAUGCAGAAUUCCAGGUGUAGCGGUGAAAUGCGUAGAUAUCUGGAGGAAUACCGGUGGCGAAGGCGGCAUCCUGGACCGAGAUUGACACUGAUGAGCGAAAGCCAGGGGAGCAAACGGG